Molecule: long non-coding RNA, 238 nt
Filed under: Elaeis guineensis (African oil palm)
Lineage: Eukaryota; Viridiplantae; Streptophyta; Magnoliopsida; Arecales; Arecaceae
Description: long non-coding RNA (EGUI_LNC075400)
Source: RNAcentral
UUCAUUCGAUACCCGAACUCGGAAGUAGGGAGACUGGUGUUGGGUAUAAAAUAAUCUCAGCCGAAGUUCGUAAGAGGCCGACCCUCCCAGGACUCUUUCGGCUUCCGACCUUGUGCGACGUCUUUCUGAACUCCCCCAGCCGUCUAAGCUUCCACAGUACCAUCCGGAUUCCCCCAGCAGUCGACCUUCCACAGUGUCCUUCAAAUUCCUCCAACGGACGAACUCCUAUCGUGCCAUC